AGAUGAUAGUUGUAGCUCCUGAGGUCACUUGUCAUGUUGAGAAUAGAAGAACAAAGAGAGAAGGAACUUAUGACAGUAUGGAUCCACCAUAGUCUUCCUCACAGAUGGAGAAGAUCUCUUCCACCAAAAUCAUCAAUGGAAGAUCCAAAGUUUCAGAUUGGAUUAGCUUUCAGCAUAUCAUCAGCUCUAAACUAUCAAUGUCAGAAGGAAGAUGGAAUUCUCUUGAUUAACAUGAGCUAAUUCUACCUCUAGAGCUAGAGAUAUAUUCAAUUUUAUAUAAAUCGUAUGUCUGCUCUUCUGGAAGAAAGGGUUAAACAAAUCAUUGAGGACCACCAGAAUGAUCACUGUCAAAGAAAAUAAAGCAAUAUUUCUAAAGUGCA
This is a non-coding RNA of Ictidomys tridecemlineatus (thirteen-lined ground squirrel), 380 nucleotides long. NCBI's taxonomy places the organism in Eukaryota, Metazoa, Chordata, Mammalia, Rodentia, Sciuridae. The record is from RefSeq and is a predicted model, not a curated record.